This 392-nucleotide ribosomal RNA is filed under the name uncultured Gammaproteobacteria bacterium. RNAcentral's name for it is "bacterial SSU rRNA". It matches the Rfam family "Bacterial small subunit ribosomal RNA", at positions 370 to 779 of the family's 1533-position model. Lineage: Bacteria; Pseudomonadati; Pseudomonadota; Gammaproteobacteria. The record is from RNAcentral.
AAUGGGCGCAAGCCUGAUCCAGCCAUGCCGCGUGAGUGAUGAAGGCCCUAGGGUCGUAAAGCUCUUUCGCCAGAGAUGAUAAUGACAGUAUCUGGUAAAGAAACCCCGGCUAACUCCGUGCCAGCAGCCGCGGUAAUACGGAGGGGGUUAGCGUUGUUCGGAAUUACUGGGCGUAAAGCGCACGUAGGCGGAUCAGAAAGUAUAGGGUGAAAUCCCAGGGCUCAACCCUGGAACUGCCUUAUAAACUCCUGGUCUUGAGUUCGAGAGAGGUGAGUGGAAUUCCGAGUGUAGAGGUGAAAUUCGUAGAUAUUCGGAGGAACACCAGUGGCGAAGGCGGCUCACUGGCUCGAUACUGACGCUGAGGUGCGAAAGUGUGGGGAGCAAACAGGAUU